UGUGAAAGAGGCGAUACAAAAACUGUGAUUUGAUCAAACUUCUUUUCAAAGAGUCUCCAAUAAUUUUUCUCCCUAGCCUCUUUGUUCUCUGCUACUUGAACAAAUGUUCUCCUGGUGCUAGGUUUCAAACUUUGGGUUUAUGGAAGAACAAGAUGAAGUGAAAGAUUUAUGGUUGCCCAAGUAAAGACGCAUGAAUAUUGAUUCAAAACUCGAAACUGCUUCUAAUUUUCUAAAGGUACAAUGGAGUCCCCGAGAGCAAAAGGAGAGGAAAUCACUCAUUUAAAGCGUAAAGCGCAAAAAGGUCAAUUCACAUGCGAUAUUUGGAGCUAGCUACGGUUGAGUAAGAAGGAGGUUAGGCAGUCAGUUCUCUGAAACUGACAAGCCUAACAUUUCAGACAGCCCUUAUCCAAUGGCUGGGUGCAUGUAGUUGUUUCAUUCAUUACAACCCCAAUACCCAGAGAAACAUUUUCUCUUCUCAUUAUUGUGCUUUUGUCUGAUUAAGAAAAGAGAGGAACUGAAAUAGCGGUUAUACUAUCAUUCUCAGAGAGGAAGAGAGGAAUUGAUAGAAGAAUUAGGGCUUGAGAUCUGAGAAAUUAGAGUCUGUUAUUGCGACUUGACGAAGAUUAAAGAGUGGGUUGGCUUUGAAUUCGAAGAUGAUAAAAAGGGUUUUGAUCUGGAGAUGAAUCUGAUGAUGCUACUGAUGAAGAAAUCGAUAUUUAGGGUUUGAUUGCUUACAUUAAUUGAAAAUGAAGAUGAAUUUUGUUAUGUGGAGGCUGUAGCUCAAGAAGGCAAUGAUUACAGGGUUUGUUCUGAAAUUGCAGAUGCAGGCAAAGAUGGGCAUUGGAAAUUGGUAACCUUAGAUGUGAAAUUAGGGUCUGAGCUAUACAGGCUGAUGUUGAUGUUCGAAUUGAUGGCUGGAAAACGAGAAAACAACGAGAUGGAGAUGAAGUUGAUGUUGUUAUAGGUUUGAGAACAAGGUAUACUGUUCAGUUGGAAGUGAUGAAGCUGCAGAGAGUAUGAAUGUGGAUCUGUGAUGGAAGAAGAGAUGGGUAAGAAGAUGGGUCUGAGUGAAUGAAACUGAAAUAGUUCAGGCAGUUGAAGCUCAGGUGGAUGGAUGAACUCAGGUGAAGCAAAUGGGUUGAAUUGCAGAGACAGUUCUGGUGCUCAAGUUAUGGUGAUGAUUGAGAAGAUAAAUUGCAGGUGAUGCUGUGGUUCAAGAGCAUUGCAGGGCUGUGUGGCAGCAGUGGUGAAUUCAAGUUGUUGCUGUCAAUUUUGGCUUAGUUGCAGAAUGCAGAGUUUCUGCUAAUGGUGGCAGCGUGCAAAUGAGGUAGUGAACUUGUGUGCAAACACUGCUUUAUGGUUUGGUGGUUGAAUGUGGUGAGCUGAAAUUACAUAAAUGGAAUGGUGCAAAUGAGCUGGAACUGAAGCAUUCACUUGUAUGGAACUGGAAUUGGUGGACUCUAUUUGUUGGAGUUGCAGCUACAUAGUAGUUGGUAUUGCACAAGUGAAGCAUUGAUGGUAAUUCUGAUGAAUUUGGAGCUGAUUACAAUUGCUAGAGGAUGUAAUGGUGCCGACGGCUGUUAAGUGAGGACCAAAUGUGAAGACAUAUGAAUCUUAAAUGGUUUCUGAAUCAUGGGUUUUCUGGGAGUGAUAUUGCAGGUGCAUGGACAUGUUUGUCUAUUCGUGGUGUUUGCGAGUCUUCAUAAUGGGUUAUUACAGGGAACUGGAGGCGCAUAUAUCCAGUUGUGGGUUAAGUUCGUGGAGACAAUAGGCAGUGAUUUGAGUAUGGCUUGAGAACGGGUUUGAGCUUGUGGUGAUUCAAAGAGAAAUGCAGGUAGAAAUGAGCUCCUUGAGCUUAUAUGAGUCACAAGAACAAGGUGAUGCAGCUGUAGAAGAUGGACCUGGUAAUUCAGUUGGGGUGGUGGAAGCAGCUGCAAUGAGAUGCUGUGGCUGGCAACAAAUGGAGCUACAGAUAAAGCUAGUGGUGUUGAUCAAGUUAGAGUUAUGCAGUUGCAGCUGGCGUUGGUUGGCUGCAAGAGUAUUCUAUCUUGAGCUGAAAUGCAGCUGAAACAAGACAUGACUUUGAUGCUGAGAAGAACGAAGAAGAAGAUUGCGCGAGUGUUUUGCUGGUAUGGAGAUGCGAUUCGAAGUGCAGCAGUCUGUACAGGGGUUGUCUGGCAGUGGCUUGGACCUGAGCUAGAAGGAUACAUGAUAUGCAGAUUUGGGCGCAAAUUUAUCUAAUUAUGGAAGGAGUUUAUUUACUUGAAAAUAGCCAGAGAAGGUUGUUUUGGCCUUCAUGUUUACUGAGUUGUACGGUUGAGAUUUGGAGGCUGGCAGGGUCCGUAUUAAACAAGGAAAGUGAGUCUUCUUAGGUCACGAUAUUGGUGGUUAGAAGCAGACAAGAAGAUUGUUGUUGUGCAGUUGAACUGGUGCAGUGGAGGCAGAAAUGCAGUUGUGAUAAUAGCCGAACAAGAAAGAACUGGUGGUAAUGAAGUAUAAUGUGCUGAGUAUCCGAGUGAAAUUGGUUGAUGCAGUCUAUGUGAAGCUACAGGAAAUGGGAAUUGUAGAUAGUGCUAUUGUCGUGACUGCAACUGAGUUGGCUAAGCAAGGAGGCACUGCAGCUACAAAUACAGAUGGGAGCUUGCAAGGGACUGAAAGGAUUGAAUGAAUGCUACAGAUGAAUGAUGGAUGCAUGCUAGGAUGAUUGGUGCAGGGAAGCUGAAACAUGGCCUGGAACAUGCCAGAACAGACAUAACUCUAGCUGAAUCGGGCUCAGCCGAGUUAACUCGCUGAUCCACACAAAUGGACUUGGGCUCUGAGAUUUGGGCUUGGUUUAUGGGAUGUGAGAGAGUUAAUUGGAGUUGACGGCAGAAUUGGAAAGCUGUAUAAGAAGGGUUUGAGAAUACACAACAAGGAGGGAAUCUUUACUUCUACUUUUGCCUAGGGUUUAGAAAACAUGAAAACUUUUCUCUUUCUUCUUGUGAUGAACCUCGUUAACAUGAGUAGUUAAUUUUAUCAUUGGUUAUGGAA
Papaver somniferum (opium poppy) is the source of this 3030-nucleotide long non-coding RNA. RefSeq lists it as uncharacterized. The transcript has 2 exons. The record is from RefSeq and is a predicted model, not a curated record. Lineage: Eukaryota; Viridiplantae; Streptophyta; Magnoliopsida; Ranunculales; Papaveraceae.